AACGAACGCUGGCGGCAUGCCUAACACAUGCAAGUCGGACGAUAAGCCACCUUCGGGUGGUGGACAGUGGCGCACGGGUGAGUAACACGUGGGGACCUGCCUGAUAGUAAGGAAAAACAGUUGGAAACGACUGCUAAUACCUCAUAAUGUCUACGGACCAAAGGGGGCUUCGGCUCUCGCCUUUAGAUUGGCCCAAGUGGGAUUAGCUAGUUGGUGAGGUAAUGGCUCACCAAGGCGACGAUCCCUAGCUGGUUUGAGAGGAUGAUCAGCCACACUGGGACUGGGACACGGCCCAG
This 296-nucleotide ribosomal RNA is filed under the name uncultured bacterium. RNAcentral's name for it is "partial 16S ribosomal RNA". It matches the Rfam family "Bacterial small subunit ribosomal RNA", at positions 29 to 334 of the family's 1533-position model. The record is from RNAcentral.